GGACGGUUAGCUCAGUUGGUUAGAGCUACUGGUUUACACCCAGUGGGUCGCAGGUUCGAGUCCUGCACCGUCUACCA
RNAcentral lists this transfer RNA (77 nucleotides) under Puniceicoccales bacterium. RNAcentral's name for it is "tRNA-Val". It matches the Rfam family "tRNA". From Rfam's summary of the family: Transfer RNA (tRNA) molecules are approximately 80 nucleotides in length. Their secondary structure includes four short double-helical elements and three loops (D, anti-codon, and T loops). Lineage: Bacteria; Pseudomonadati; Verrucomicrobiota; Opitutia; Puniceicoccales. The record is from RNAcentral.